UCAGAUUACGCAGGAAAACAAUGCUUCUUGUGGGGAAUUAGCUGAGUGUCAACUGGAGAAGGCCCUCAUUGCAGUUAUGAAUUUCCUGCAACUCAGGACAACUGAAGCACUAGUUUUCAAGGACUACCAGUAUGGCUGAUUGGCAAGAGGGGGUGUAUCAAAAGAUAGAAAUAAUGAAGGAGAUGUACAUUCCUGAUUUAAUGAGAUGCACCAAAAAAUU
This 220-nucleotide long non-coding RNA is filed under the name Vitis vinifera (wine grape). RNAcentral's name for it is "long non-coding RNA (VVIN_LNC007389)". Lineage: Eukaryota; Viridiplantae; Streptophyta; Magnoliopsida; Vitales; Vitaceae. The record is from RNAcentral.